CGUUCCCGGGCCUUGUACACACCGCCCGUCACACCAUGGAAGCCGGUAACACCCGAAGCCGGUGGCCUAACCCGCAAGGGAGGGAGCCGUCGAGGGUGGGAUUGGUGACUGGGGUG
This 116-nucleotide ribosomal RNA is filed under the name uncultured bacterium. RNAcentral's name for it is "partial 16S ribosomal RNA". It matches the Rfam family "Bacterial small subunit ribosomal RNA", at positions 1369 to 1482 of the family's 1533-position model. The record is from RNAcentral.